This 99-nucleotide ribosomal RNA is filed under the name Anopheles aconitus. RNAcentral describes it as "partial 5.8S ribosomal RNA". It matches the Rfam family "5.8S ribosomal RNA", at positions 58 to 154 of the family's 154-position model. From Rfam's summary of the family: 5.8S ribosomal RNA (5.8S rRNA) is a component of the large subunit of the eukaryotic ribosome. The record is from RNAcentral. Lineage: Eukaryota; Metazoa; Arthropoda; Insecta; Diptera; Culicidae.
AUAAUGUGAACUGCAGGACACAUGAACACCGACACGUUGAACGCAUAUGGCGCAUCGGACGUUUAAACCCGACCGAUGUACACAUUCUUGAGUGCCUAC